GUAUAAAGAUGGAAAGAAACUGAAGCCGAAACCGAACUACAACAGUGUGGAUCUGUCUGAGGUGGAGUGGGAGGAUACAGAGGAGAAACUGAGAACAGCCAUGGUGAAAGGAGAGACUGGCAGCAGCAGCCUGAACAUCAGAGCCUCAGUGGAUAAAGGGAAACGACCUCUGUUCCUCGUCAACGAGUACUUCUACACAAACAUCGACGAGACGCCUUUCAGCUUCGGCAUGGUGCUGACGAGGGGUCCCGGAAAGCUGAUGUUCAUGGGGAAUGUGUCUGUGGAGGAAGG
Morone saxatilis (striped sea-bass) is the source of this 291-nucleotide long non-coding RNA. RefSeq lists it as uncharacterized. The record is from RefSeq and is a predicted model, not a curated record. The transcript is spliced from 4 exons. NCBI's taxonomy places the organism in Eukaryota, Metazoa, Chordata, Actinopteri, Moronidae.